UCAAAAUUAGAGUUUCCUCAAAAUAAAUCGACACCAAAUUUAUGCGUGCUAACUCGUACCGACACUGUAUCAACGAGUGUCAGUGAAGGAAGUGGACUGUUUUGUUUUGGAAAUUCCAAAGCGUUGUAAAAUGUAGUGAUGGAUUUUCCCGCAGUGUGUUAUCCCCAACCCGGUAGCAUCGGCCUUGUUUCCUGAAGCUGCCGUGAAAGACAGUGGCGUUAGUCUCAUCUAUGUUUUUGAAGGUAGCGUUGAUAUACUAUCUCAUUUACACAUACGUUGAGAUGUUAAUCCCUAAAUCAUCGCGCGAUGUCAGCCGCCUGCAAGAAACACCGCCGUUCGAAAUCGGCAAGAAUAAACGUUGUGUACAUUCUAUAAUGAUGCAACGCAUUCAUUUUUUGUUUCAUCAAGCAAAGCACUCGACGUUAUGUGCAAUAAAUACAUCACCCCAAAACAACACAUAAACACACUGCAGCUGAACACCGACACUGUAUGCACGUAUGAACACUGCUUUUUCUCGUGUUUCGAUGAAUUAGCUGUCAAAUUGCAUGUGAAAUUGAUCCAGUGAUCCAGCUAAUGCUGGCUUCACUUAUGUUGUACGUAAACGUCAGUGAUGCCACCGGGUUGGUUAUCCCACAGAUUUGUCCAUUCAUGGUCGAUUAGAAGCGAAAGUUGCAGUUCCCAGCAAGCAAGCGAAUAUAAAUACGGAAAAAAUUAAAAAGCAGAAGCAGUACAAGGAGUGCAACAUUAUCAGUGCUAUUGCCAAUGUUAAAAAUGGUUCCAUGUCUGUUCACUAUGCUUCUGUGUAUUACGGAGUUCCACGAACCACACUGCAGUAUCGAAUGGGUUUGAAAUGUAAACAAAAGGGUACAGUAGGCCCCUACACUGUUUUGUCACAAAAUGAAGAGCAGGAAAUUGUGACAUGGUUGCGAACCAUGGAGAGAAAGGGAUUUCCGGUAACUCGUGCCGCCUUGAUAUUCAAAGUUUCUUCCUAUCUUAAAGCUCAUCCAAGAACAACACCUUUUAAAAAUAAUGUUCCAGGAAUGGGUUGGUUUCGAGCAGUAUGGUCUAUAUAGGGUGUGGCAGAAGUAUACGUGAAAUUGUGGUGGCGAGUCGAAAAAUGUAAAUAAAAUCCGAGUGAGUCGUUGUGACGUCAUACCACAAAUUAUUGUACGUUCUCUCACGGCAUUAUAUUUUGUUUUUAUGUUAAUGUUCAUUUUGAAAAUAAUUUUUUAUGAAGAAACUAUUUCCGAAAACAAAAAAAACAGGGGAGCAUACUGUUCUUGAAACGCUUAUUUUUUAUUCAAUCACAUAAUUUUUACAAUGAAACACAACAAACGUAGCAAAUCGCAGUGCAGGAUAACUUGAAAUAAUUGCUGAUGUUAUUUGUGAAACAACAAACAACUUCCUGAUUUUUUCAAAUGACCGUUUAUUAGAUUCAAACCAAGCUUGCCUAAAACGAACAUCUAAGAAAUACUUUGCAUUUCACAAUUUUCAUUUAUUUUUAUAAUCUUUUUGGCUUUUAGUAGAUCCAUUUUUGUUUUUAGUCGAUCUGUUUCCUCAAUCUUACGAUUCAAAAUCAUCGAAUAACAUCAUCAAUGAGCAACAUUACUUCGCUGAUUUGUUUCUACUGUAGUUUCUGGUUCGUAACGUUGGCUGUACGAAACGCUAGUUUUACUGGAAUUAGCAAAAAACUACGAUGAGUAGUUCGAAUGCGAAUAUGUUCUAUUACUCUACUUUUCUGGAAAAUUAAAAUAAGACUGCUUCCAUGUCACCAUGUUAGGUCUUAUUGCCUGGUUCCCUCCACAUGAGUUUCUCGGUCAGAUGUUUUUCGGGAUCGCGGGUCCGAGAAGUUGGAGCAAAAAGAAAUAGUUCAUUUGAAUGAAGGGCUUCUACUUCACAAAAAGUAAGUACCUGUUCUAACUAGUUUUUUUUUCUUGCACCUCAACGAUAUAAUUCAAAAAUUUUGCUGCUGGAAAUGCUGUGGGCCUGUAGGUCCCCGGAUUUGUUUCAACACCACAAAACUUCAUGAACUUUUUUCAUAACACCUGUAAGUUUCGUCUGAAAACAACGUAAAUCCAUGCCUUUUUCGGUACAAUGUUCACAAAUAUCUCAACAGGAAACGGCACAUUCAGGCAUUUCUUUUUUUUCCAGUUAUUGCAGGAAAAAAAUCGAAUUUAAGAUAAAAUGGUACCUAUUUAUUUACACUAUAACACUGCAGGAAUAUGACACCGAAACAUUGGUGUGACGUAGUACUCUUUCAUAGCAACGGUAGUGUAAAUAAAAUCAUAGCAGUUUUACACAUGAUAUUGAAAAGUGAUUUGAAUGUGUAUGUAAAACUAUGAUACAUCUGCCACACCCUAUAUAAACCAUACUGGGUUUCGAGGAUUCAUGAAACGACAUCCAGAUUUAGCUUUACGAACACCUGAACCGGUGACUCUGGCAAGCGCUAAAGUCUCCGAGAAAAAUCUUCAGACCUGGUUCCAAACCGUUCGAUACUACUUGCUGGAAAAUGGAUUGAUUAAGAUACUGAAGAUUCAACGAGAAUAUACAAUGGAGACGAAUCUGGAUUUUGUUUGAACCCUUUAUCUAAGCGUGUGCUCGCUACACGAGGUACUAAAAACGUAUCUAUCGUGGAAACAGGAAGUAGUAAGCAAAACAUAACAGUUAUGUUCUCUUUUUGUGCUGAUGGCUCUGUAGUACCUCCAGAUGUCAUUUUAUUUCAAAAAAGAUUAAGUAAGGAACUUAUCCAAUCCUUUCCGGCGAAUUGGGGCCUAGGCCAUUCCGAAAAUGGAUGGAUGGACUCGAAAAACUUUGUUUUAUACUAAGAAAUUUUUUUAACCCAUUCUUGAUUAAAAAAGGAGUAACAUUUCCGGUGAUCUAUUUUGUAGACGGUCAUAAAUCAUACACUGCAAUACAAGCAGCUGAUGUUUGCCAACGGCUUGGAAUUAUUUUAACUGCUCUAUGUCCAAAUGCUACGAGGAUUAUCCAGCCGGCCGAUGUCGGCGUUUUCAAGCCACUUAAGACCAAAUGGAACCAAAUCGUGGAUCGGUGGAAACUAGAAAAUAAUUUCGCAGCAGUGACAUUGUUGCAGUUCGGCUCCUUGUUACAAAAAGCUAUGGACGAAGCUUUCAACCCAAGCAUCAUCAUAUCUGCGUUUGCUGCAUGUGGGUUAUUUCCGUAUAAUGCGAAUGCUGUAAACUACACUAAAUGCAUAGUUCAGAAUGAGGAGCUGCGUAGCUGCAAAUCGAAUACGGAAAGUGGUAAAGAAAAUUCUGCAAAAAAAGGUUUCUGGGUCCCGUACGAAACGAUCGAACAUUCUAUCAAUAUGAUAGCACCGUCGAAGAUACAGAUGCUAAUAACUGAGAACGACGAAUGUCUCUCACAGGAUGAUAGAUGCCUUGCUUAUAUUUAUAAAAACAUUUUAACAAACAGUUACGAAGCGAUCGCAUUAGACACUACUGAUGAAAUGAAUCCUCAAGAAUAUGUGCUUUUGAACGAAUCUGAUAAAAGCAUCUCAAGCUGCGAUGUGAUCGAAUUAGACAUUAUAGACAAAUAAAACCCGAGGGGUAAGCUAUUUGUUUUUAAGCUCUUGAUUUUUAAUGUUUUCUCAUUGCAGAAAAUUCGGAAUUCGAAGCCCCAACUUCUGUUUAUACAAUGGAACAGGCUUCCGUUAACGAAAACGGUAGUUCGCCGAAUGGAGAUAUAAAUUUCUGGAACACUCCCGCAAAUUUCACACGAAAACAUCGGAGCUAUAAACAAAAAUCCUAUUCAAUACUGACUGCCGAGGAGAGGUUGAGCGAAAUGAUUUCAAUAGAGAAGGAAAAGAUUGAAUUGGGAAGAAUCAGGCAGGAAAAAAUGGCCAUUAGAGCAGAGAAAAAAGCUACACUAGAAAAGGAGAAAAUGCUGAAACGAGAACAGAGACUAAAAAGGAAACAAGAAAGAGAAGAUGCUAUUAAAAAGAAACGGGAGGUCAAAAAUGACCCCAGGAAUAAGAAGCUAGGAGAAGUCGAGGCGCAAUAGAACAAACGAAUACAGAGAAGAAAGG
Wyeomyia smithii (pitcher-plant mosquito) is the source of this 4045-nucleotide long non-coding RNA. RefSeq lists it as uncharacterized. The transcript is spliced from 5 exons. Lineage: Eukaryota; Metazoa; Arthropoda; Insecta; Diptera; Culicidae. The record is from RefSeq and is a predicted model, not a curated record.